ACNUGCAGACGAACGGUAAGUUGAGUAGCAAUAUUUGACCAAGAGUGUCGUAAGGGUGCGUAACGGGUAUGCAAUCUGCCCUGUACAGGAGGAUAGCUCCCCGAAAGGGGAAUUAACCCUCCAUAAGAUCACACGAGGGCAUCUGAGAGUGAUUAAAACUGAGGUGGUACAGGAUGAGCAUGCUUCUGAUUAGCUAGUUGGUGAGGUAACGGCUCACCAAGGCGAUGAUCAGUAGGGGAACUGAGAGGUUGAUCCCCCACACUGGCACUGAGAUACGGGCCAGACUCCUACGGGAGGCAGCAGUAGGGAAUAUUGGACAAUGGGUGGAAGCCUGAUCCAGCCAUGCCGCGUGCAGGAAGACGGCCUUCUGGGUUGUAAACUGCUUUUGCCUGUGGAUAAAAAGACUCUGCGGAGUAAAUUGAAGGUAGCAGGUGAAUAAGCCACGGCUAACUACGUGCCAGCAGCCGCGGUAAUACGUAGGUGGCAAGCGUUGUCCGGAUUUAUUGGGUUUAAAGGGUGCGUAGGCGGUCUGUUAAGUCAGUGGUGAAAUACGGCAGCUCAACUGUCGAGGUGCCAUUGAUACUGGCGGACUUGAGUACUGAUGAGGUAGGCGGAAUGGACGGUGUAGCGGUGAAAUGCUUAGAUAUCGUCCAGAACACCGAUAGCGAAGGCAGCUUACUAAGGAGUAACUGACGCUGANGCACGAAAGUGUGGGGAUCAAACAGGAUUAGAUACCCUGGUAGUCCACACUGUAAACGUUGAUCACUCGAUGUUGGCGAUACACGGCCAGCGUCUUANCAAAAGCGAUAAGUGAUCCACCUGGGGAGUACGCCCGCAAGGGUGAAACUCAAAGGAANUGA
RNAcentral lists this ribosomal RNA (860 nucleotides) under uncultured bacterium. RNAcentral describes it as "bacterial SSU rRNA". It matches the Rfam family "Bacterial small subunit ribosomal RNA", at positions 53 to 913 of the family's 1533-position model. The record is from RNAcentral.